RNAcentral lists this ribosomal RNA (253 nucleotides) under uncultured bacterium. RNAcentral describes it as "partial 16S ribosomal RNA". It matches the Rfam family "Bacterial small subunit ribosomal RNA", at positions 524 to 776 of the family's 1533-position model. The record is from RNAcentral.
UACGUAGGGGGCAAGCGUUGUCCGGAAUCAUUGGGCGUAAAGAGCGCGUAGGCGGCCCUGUAAGUCCGCUGUGAAAGUCAAGGGCUCAACCCUUGAAUGCCGGUGGAUACUGCAGGGCUAGAGUCCGGAAGAGGCGAGUGGAAUUCCUGGUGUAGCGGUGAAAUGCGCAGAUAUCAGGAGGAACACCGAUGGCGAAGGCAGCUCGCUGGGACGGUACUGACGCUGAGGCACGAAAGCGUGGGGAGCAAACAGG